Molecule: non-coding RNA, 117 nt
Organism: Podospora conica
Lineage: Eukaryota; Fungi; Ascomycota; Sordariomycetes; Sordariales; Podosporaceae
Source: the annotation of a GenBank genome assembly
GGGGGGGUAGCUCAGCGGUUAGAGCAUCAGCGAAUUUGCAUUUGGUCUUUCCCCUAAGCGAAACAUACCUAAAAAUGCCGAUUCCUAAGGUCCUGGGUUCGAGUCCCAGUUCUCCCG